UGCAUCUAGAUUAGACUUUGAUCCUGGCUCAGAACGAACGCUGGCGGCAGGCUUAACACAUGCAAGUCGAGCGGGCCCUUCGGGGUCAGCGGCAGACGGGUGAGUAACGCGUGGGAACGUACCAUUUGCUACGGAAUAACUCAGGGAAACUUGUGCUAAUACCGUAUGAGCCCCCCUUUAAAAUUUCAGGAAUCAUAAAAUGCCCUGGCAUUUUAUGGGGGGGAAAGAUUUAUCGGCAAAUGAUCGGCCCGCGUUGGAUUAGCUAGUUGGUGGGGUAAAGGCCUACCAAGGCGACGAUCCAUAGCUGGUCUGAGAGGAUGAUCAGCCACACUGGGACUGAGACACGGCCCAGACUCCUACGGGAGGCAGCAGUGGGGAAUAUUGGACAAUGGGCGCAAGCCUGAUCCAGCCAUGCCGCGUGAGUGAUGAAGGCCCUAGGGUUGUAAAGCUCUUUCACCGGUGAAGAUAAUGACGGUAACCGGAGAAGAAGCCCCGGCUAACUUCGUGCCAGCAGCCGCGGUAAUACGAAGGGGGCUAGCGUUGUUCGGAUUUACUGGGCGUAAAGCGCACGUAGGCGGGCUAAUAAGUCAGGGGUGAAAUCCCGGGGCUCAACCCCGGAACUGCCUUUGAUACUGUUAGUCUUGAGUAUGGUAGAGGUGAGUGG
This 664-nucleotide ribosomal RNA is filed under the name Brucella ciceri. Its description in RNAcentral is "bacterial SSU rRNA". It matches the Rfam family "Bacterial small subunit ribosomal RNA", at positions 1 to 664 of the family's 1533-position model. The record is from RNAcentral. Lineage: Bacteria; Pseudomonadati; Pseudomonadota; Alphaproteobacteria; Hyphomicrobiales; Brucellaceae.